GAACUAGAAGUCUGGUAGAAAAAGUAUUUGAAGAGCAAUGCGUAGGCAGUAGGUUUCGAUCAAUUAAAGAGCAAAGUUCUAAUUUCAUAUGUUAAAAGGAAAAAAAAAAUCAAAUAUUAUUACAAUUUACACAAAUCAAAAUAAUGAAAAGUAAGAAAAGAAAAAUGAGUAUAAAUUUUAGGUUCGAGGGCUUCACCUUCUUUUUCUAUCGUUCAGUUGCUACCAAAGAAUAGCUGACGAGCCCGUUUGUCUAGUGCUGUCUAGGGACCGACAAAAGUAAUCACUCCUCAAGAGACCAAAAUUUGGACUCAAAAGGUCCAUUUUAUUUCUUGAACGCGACUCAUAUACUUGGAGUUUGCACUUUUAUAAUAAAUUACUCAUCUAUGAUGUUAGAUCCAAUUUUUCAAUUUUAGUUAAUUAUCUCUCUCA
This 429-nucleotide long non-coding RNA is filed under the name Olea europaea (common olive). RNAcentral describes it as "long non-coding RNA (OEUR_LNC009407)". Lineage: Eukaryota; Viridiplantae; Streptophyta; Magnoliopsida; Lamiales; Oleaceae. The record is from RNAcentral.